CCGAGUUUUUCCCGGGAAGAGGCUCUCAAGACUAGCCAGUGCAGGAGGAGGAGUCGAACUCUGGAUAGCCUGUUUAUAAAGCCCUAACUGUGCCGAUGUUGACCGUUUUCUGAAACUCCUCCUCCAAAACCCACGCCAAACCACAAGAUGAAGGAAAUUCACACAUCAGGAUGCCAAAAACCAUGGAAGACUUCUGAUGUUCUGGGAGGGUUGACAAAGAUGGACCUUAAAUUCUAGAAUUUAGGUAUUCAUGGUUGAGAUCCUGAAGAAAACAUUUUCUGCUGAGCAGAAGCAAUUUAAUAAUUGCCUCCCUUCAUUGUAAGUUUUUUAUUUCUUCCUUAUGUCUGAUUAAUCCCCCAAUAUAAACUUCAAUUAAUUGAGCAGCUCUGCAAAAUAUAUGAAUAAAACACCACAUAUUAAGAUAUUA
RNAcentral lists this long non-coding RNA (427 nucleotides) under Homo sapiens (human). RNAcentral describes it as "non-protein coding lnc-SLC19A2-1:2". The record is from RNAcentral. Lineage: Eukaryota; Metazoa; Chordata; Mammalia; Primates; Hominidae.